This 73-nucleotide transfer RNA is filed under the name Robinia pseudoacacia. RNAcentral describes it as "tRNA-Met". It matches the Rfam family "tRNA". From Rfam's summary of the family: Transfer RNA (tRNA) molecules are approximately 80 nucleotides in length. Lineage: Eukaryota; Viridiplantae; Streptophyta; Magnoliopsida; Fabales; Fabaceae. The record is from RNAcentral. RNAcentral also lists the same sequence under 3 other names.
ACCUACUUAACUCAGUGGUUAGAGUAUAGCUUUCAUACGGCUAGAGUCAUUGGUUCAAAUCCAAUAGUAGGUA